GCCGGGCAAGCCACCGAGCGCGCAGUGAUGACGCAACACGCAGCCGGGGCCUUCUACUUUCAAGCGUAGCGUGGUCAGAAAAUGUCUGAGGGCGCUGUUGUCAUGGCCUGUGUGAUGGUGCACACCCCGAAUUCCAGCACUCAGGAAGCAGAGGCAGGGGCAUCCCUUAAAGAUGCAGGAUAUUCAGAGCUUCAUUGUAAAUUCCUAUUUCUGAAGAAAGAAAAUAUCUAGAACGGCUAAAGCAGCCAACCCCAUUGGUGCUUAGUCAGAGAAAUCAUGAACAGAACAAGAAUACAACCCGAGCUAUGGUAUGAUACUCUGCACAUCCACGGCUGUCUCGCCUGUGUGACAAAAUGCCUCUCAGGUGGUGGCCGUCUCGAAAUGAGGGGCUCAUGCUUCCUGGAGCUUGGCCCCGGCGGCCCCUGGCUGCCUGCUCGAGUUGCGGUGCCUGAUCAGCCUCAACGACCUCGUUCACUUUGUUCCUGGCGAUGGUUUCUUCCGUUGGCUCUGCUAUCUUCUUCUCUGUUCUACUUUUCUCUUGACAAAAACUUAAUCUGUUCAAGGAACCAGGAAACAUUCCCAAUGGUUCCUUGAAUACGGAGGAACUGAUCGUCAGUCCCCUCCCUUGAUUCAGGCCAUUAAUGUUAUGAUUAAGACUCCGGCUCGCUCUCUGGGGGAAUUUAUGGAUACCCUAAAACAGAAAGAGCUCAUGAUGGUAGGAGAUGGGUAAAUUAUGAAGGAAAACGUAUGGAGUGGCAUGAGUUAACAUUUAUGGAGAGCCUAGCCAGAAUGAGAAACCCCUGGUACAUUUUAGAUAGGAAAGAGAAGCAGGCUAUUCUUGACAACAUGUAACCAGCCAUUCAGUAUGGGAGCAAACCCUGGGGGCGGAAUCCUGAAGAAUGGUAUCUAGGUUACCUUGAGGGCAGAUAUGAUUUAGAGCCAUGAGAAAGCGCAGUUGGUUAGUGGCUUAAGACGAAUUUCAAAGAAAAGCUCUGACCACCUGGCCCUGACCACAAGACUUGCUGAGAAUAAUCAAUUGCCUGUAAUCAUUUUUUCUAUGUAAGCCUUUGUGUCUGCCAACUUCCUUCUGUAAUCUCAUAAAAGUGAUGCUUGAAUUUUAGUAAAGUUGUAGCAGAUUCAAACCUCA
Long non-coding RNA from Myodes glareolus (Bank vole), 1147 nucleotides. RefSeq lists it as uncharacterized. The record is from RefSeq and is a predicted model, not a curated record. NCBI's taxonomy places the organism in Eukaryota, Metazoa, Chordata, Mammalia, Rodentia, Cricetidae.